UGAUUUUUAGCAGACAAGAUGACAAAAAACCUACUGUGUCGAUAAAGCUUGCACAGCUUGUCAUAGACGAAUUGGAAGGAGGAAAAGGAGAAGGAAUCAAUCUCCUUGAAGAACAUAUAAAAACAGAGACGACGACAUUCGAUUGUACGACCCCUACAGCCAAGGAGCAUAAGAUACCUGAUGUGAUGACGUGUCCUCCUGCCCCGAGAAAGAGUAAGCUUUCACUUGCUGUCAAAGGUAACGGCCCCAACAAGAUUAGGACUGUGAAGGAAUUCUUUGCCUCGCCAGAGCUCGAAGCCAUGCUCGGGAUUAAUCGAGUCUCUUCUAAGAUUUCAUGGAGUAACAGGAUAAAGAGCUCCGGCAAAUUAAGCCGUGGAAGUUCUUCAAAGAAUCAUAUAUUUUAGUAGAUUAAAAGCUUAAAAACUAUUUUGGAUUGUACUCACUACAGAUUUCACCAUUAAUGAGGUGGAUAGGCUUUGCUCUCUCUCUCUCUCUCUCAAUUGCUUCUACAUACAAAAUAAUUUUUGAAUUAUUUGUUGGUCAACGGCUGUUGAAAUGCAAAUUUUUCACUUGUUCCAUGUUUGUUUUCUUUUUUUUUUAAAAAAAAUGAAAUUGGACAGGCCGCCGGCCGGUGGUUUUUAAUAUAUGCAGG
RNAcentral lists this unclassified non-coding RNA (652 nucleotides) under Hevea brasiliensis (rubber tree). The record is from RNAcentral. Lineage: Eukaryota; Viridiplantae; Streptophyta; Magnoliopsida; Malpighiales; Euphorbiaceae.